UUUCCGCCAGGACUUUAUUAAACGCGCUGUGUGGUGUGUGGAGUGUGGUGUGUGGGCGAGGAGACCCUGUGCAAAGAUAUGACGGGAUUAGUUGGCCAAUCAGCGAAGGCAGGCAACUGGGAUUUUGUGGCCUGCUGCACAACCUCAUCAGCGCUUUGAGUUUGGGCUUGGGUUUGCGUUGCCAUGGCUAGCAAUGCCAAAUGCCAAAUGCCGAUUGACGACCAACCCAUACAGCACCACUGCCACCACCACCACCACCAACAGGAAGAGAUAUCCUUCCGAGGGCAGAAGACUCACUCACACAGAAAGAGGAAGUCGGAGAUGGAGAUGGAGAUGGAGACGGAGAGCUUAGGCCGCAUUAAACCUUUUUCCUCAAUAAUGUUGUUUUUGUCCUCUCCCCACCCGCCUUUUCCCCUAUCCCCCUGACAACAUCGCCAUGCUCUACGCUCAAAGGCUCUUUUAUUUUGGUGAGUCGUGGGCUGGGUCGGUUUCCCCCUAGGAGAGAUGCUUAGCCUCGGCUAAGAAGCAUUCUCGUUCUGGUCGUCUGCUGGAAUUACGCCGCUUGGAUUUCAAGUGCUGCCUGCCACUUGUUGUUGCAGCAAAUGUUACACAAAAGUUACAGCAGCAGCCAGUCGGAGGUCUCCCCUCGUUGGAUCCCAGGCACCAAAGAUCCAGAACAGAACUGCGGUUCCAUAGUUGCAAGUUGCCUGAGGCCGAGAGCCGUAGACGCCAGUCGAGUAUAACAGAAUUUUUGCACUGAACCCUAAACGAGGGGUGGUUCGGGG
This 785-nucleotide long non-coding RNA is filed under the name Drosophila guanche. Lineage: Eukaryota; Metazoa; Arthropoda; Insecta; Diptera; Drosophilidae. The record is from RNAcentral.